GUGUAGGAGUAGGGUUAGGGCUUGGUUGAGAAUAGGGUUAGGAUUAGGGUAGGGUUAGGUUUAGGAGUAGGGUUGGGAUAGGUUAGGGUUUGGGGUAGAGGUACCCUAACCCUACCCGAACCCAACCCUAUCCCUACUCCUAACCCGAACCCAAACCUACGCCUAACCCUACCCCUAGCCCUACUCCAAACCCUACUCCUAACCCUACUCCUAACCUAACCCUACCCCAACCCCAAUCCUACCCCUACCCGUUUUGCCAC
This is a non-coding RNA of Pelobates cultripes (western spadefoot toad), 260 nucleotides long. Lineage: Eukaryota; Metazoa; Chordata; Amphibia; Anura; Pelobatidae. The record is from the annotation of a GenBank genome assembly.